Nannospalax galili (Upper Galilee mountains blind mole rat) is the source of this 2763-nucleotide long non-coding RNA. RefSeq lists it as uncharacterized. Lineage: Eukaryota; Metazoa; Chordata; Mammalia; Rodentia; Spalacidae. The record is from RefSeq and is a predicted model, not a curated record. The transcript has 3 exons.
GUGGAACUCUGUGAUCACUGUAUUUUUGGACAGAUGAGAAGGAAUCUUGGAUAUUUGCUGCAUGAACUCUACAUUCCUGAACCCAAAGUCUAUUUCUGGCUCUUCAGAUUGUUCCAAAGUGGCUGUGUCUCAUUGGAGAAAGCAGGGAAAAGACCAUUGAUGGGGAGGCUCUGGUGGGUACAGAGAGGAAGACCUGUGGUCUCCUGAAGGCUGUCUGCUUCCGCAAUGUGCAUCCUAUGGGAUUCUGCGUCAGCCAGACAGUAUUAUCCAUCACAAUAACUUAAUAACUUUGCAUGCUUAACGUCCUCCCAUGGACCAAGCUCUGCUCUGCAGCCUGCCUCCACCAGGGAUUCUUUGGGAUAGCUUCAUUCAGAGAGGCAAAGGAAGAACUGUGGCUCCAGCUCAUCUCUUCAUGCAACACGGGCUAUUGCACAGCUACCAGGCUGGCUCUCUGGCUAACUGUAGAGAACUGUGGAGAGUGGGGACAAGUGAGGGGAUAACACAAAACUUAACACCUGUUCCAGGAAGCAGGCACAGGAGAGAGCAGGGCAUGACAACCUGGGAGCGGCUAGGGGCAGGCAGGCACCAGAUCCAGAGGGAAGCAGCAGAGAGGGAAGGGUGUAUGCGUUUGAACAUUAAAUCAUGUUAACCUCCCGUCUCCAAGAUGCUAAACAUCUGGCUGAAACAAGAGCAGCGUAAGAGAACAUCUGGAUACUCACUCUGCACAGUGUGGAGCAGCUGUAUGCUUGGCAGCAUCUGUGUGAGUAAGUGAUGGGGGUCUCCUCUGUGGGUUUAACAUCACAUUUGUGCUUUUCUUUGCCUUGUAACCUAAAACCAGACCCAAACUGGUUUAAAUUUUAAAAGGAAAAUGCUUAGCUUACUGGACUGAGGCGCCCCAAGAUGAGGUAGGCUCCAGGUAGGUAUUAAUCAAGCCUCUGAAUGGAAUCCCCAAAGACUGUGCCGCUUUGUUUCCCGCUAUUUCCUUUACCCCCAAACAAGGUCCCCUGGGAGGUCCCAAGGGGCUGCCUGAAGCUUACAAUCGUUCAUAUCCGAAAAAUAGGAUAUCUGUACCAUUUGUCUGCCUGUGAUUGUUCUAGCAAAGGCUCAAUAUCUAUUUUGAUUGGACAGGAUUGGGUCACAUGGCCCAAUGGACCUAAUCACAGAGGGUAAUAGAGAGAGAAGUCCUAACUGGCUUGGUUGGAUGGAGUCAGUAUAUUAGUUACUUUUCUGUGGCUGGACUUAAAAAAGACGAAAAACAAACAUGACCAAGGCAACUUAUAGAAGGAAGAGUUUAUUUGGCUUAGGAUACAGAGGGAUGAGUCCAUCAUGGUGGGGAGUCAUGGCAAGAGGCAGCCAGAACAGAAAGCUGAGUAGUUCAAGCAGGCACAGGAAGCAGAGAGACCAACUGGAUGGAAGUGGAAAGGAGGCUCAUGAACUCUCAAAGCCUGCCCCCAGUGACCUGCUUCCUCCAGCAAGAUGGCACCGCCUAAUCUUCCACAAGCAGUUCCCCCAAGGCAGAGCCACCAACUGGGGCUGAGUAUUCAAAUAUUUGAAGCAUAUGGGGGACACUUACUCAACCACCACAGCCAGCUUCUUCAGAACAUUGGGAAUCAAGACAGAGAGUGUUGGGGAGAGGAAAAGGGGUGUGGAGGUAUAACUCCUCCCAUACCAAGGGGGCAAGACUAAGAUGAGGUGGGUGAGGAGCGGAGGGCACAUUUAAAGAUACACACACACACACAUACACAUACACACACACACACACACACACACACACACACACACACACACACUUAUGGCCAUGAUCCAAUCCUGACCUUUUUAAAUUAAAGCAUUUUUAUUUAUUAUUUAUUUACGUGGGUGUGUAUGUGUGUGUGUGUGUCUGUCUGUCUGUCUGCCUGUGUAUGCAUACACAUGUGGCACAGGACAUGUAUGCAGGUUAGAAGACAACUUGCAAGAGUCGGUUCUCUCUUUCUACCAUGCGGGACCUGGGAAUUGCACCCAGGUCAUCAGACUUGGUGACAAGUGCUUUUCACCCAGUAAGCCAUCUCACCAGCUCGACCCCAGGCUUCUGCAACCCUGAAAGUGAACUUCUCCUCCGUGUGCCCUAGGCACACUAUUUGCUUCACCAUAGCGCCAGCCCUGACUGCACAGCAGAUUACCCAUGACUUGGUGGCUUGAAACAAUAAAUUUUUCUUCUGUGGAAGUUUCUCUAAGGCCAGAAAUUUGAGUGAUUUAACGGGGGGAAAUGAAAGGGCUGGCUUGGGGGUCUGUUGUGAGGUACAGUCCAGAUGUCAGCAGGGGCUUCAGUCAUCUGAAGGCGGAAGGUCUGGGUCCUGCCCCUCCCUCCUGGAAUGGCUGCUGAUAUGUCUCAUGACAUAGUGACUGGCACACCCAGAGCAAGUGAUCCAAGAGAGAGAAAGGAACGAGCUACACUGCCUUUUAUGACCUCCUCUUAGAAGUCACACACUUCCACUCUUCUUUCUAUCCAUUAGGAGUGAGUCACUAAGUGCAGCCCAGACUCAGGAGGAGUGCUGUUAGCUACUACCUUCUGCAAGAAGUGUCAAAGAGUUUGUAGACAUCUUUAAAGUAUCACAGGAGGAAAUUGAUAAAUGGGUGGGUCACUGAAAACACCUCAGGUAACAGGACAUGACACAUGCUUGUGUGCAUAUGUAUGUGGGGGGGGGGUGUCACAGUGCGCAUGUGGAAGUCAGAGGACGACUUAUGGGAACUGAUUCUUUCCUUCCAUCUUGUGGGUCCCAGGAA